CCUACGGGGGGCAGCAGUGGGGAAUAUUGGGCAAUGGAGGAAACUCUUACCCAGCAAUGCCGCGUGAAUGAAGAAGGUCUUCGGAUUGUAAAGUUCUUUAAUUGGGGACGAAAAAAAUGACGGUACCCAAGGAAUAAGCCCCGGCUAACUACGUGCCAGCAGCCGCGGUAAUACGUAGGGGGCAAGCGUUGUUCGGAAUGACUGGGCGUAAAGGGUGUGUAGGCGGUUUAGCAAGUUAGAAGUGAAAUACCUAGAGCUUAACUCAGGUGCUGCUUCUAAAACUGCUAGACUUGAGUGCAGUAGAG
This 305-nucleotide ribosomal RNA is filed under the name uncultured bacterium. Its description in RNAcentral is "bacterial SSU rRNA". It matches the Rfam family "Bacterial small subunit ribosomal RNA", at positions 338 to 656 of the family's 1533-position model. The record is from RNAcentral.